UGAGUGUGAUGUCUGCCCAAUGUCGGCUGGAUAACGAAUUUAUCUUGAUAUUUAUUUAAGGUUUUGAAGGAUACCCCGAUCAAUGGCGGCCUUACCUAUGAGGGUCCUAAGGUAGCGGAAUACCUUGGCCGUUAAAUGCGGUCUUUGCAUGAAUGACUUAACGAUACAACAGCUGUCUCGAUGAUUGUCUCAGUGAAAUUGGAAUAGCAGUGCAGAUACUGUUUACCUCUAGAUAGACGAGAAGACCCUAUGCAGCUUUACUGUUACUAAUUACAAGAGAUUACUUUAAGUUAAUUGCGAGUGUAUAAGGUAGUCGUAAGACAAUAAUGAAACACCUUUAUUUGUACUUAUUAUCUACUCUUGAUGAUUAGGAGGCAGUUUAUGCGGGGCACAGAUCCCACAAAAAGUACCUGGGUAUAUCCAAAGUUCAUAUUGUAAAUUUGUAAAUUUAGUUACAAAUAUUUUAAUUUGUUAUUAAUUAUGUUAAUAAUAAUACAGUUAUUAUUAGAUUAAAUUCAGUAUAUUUUUUAUUUUUAGUAAGAUUUUAACUAUAUGGUGAAUAGAUGUAUUUUAAGUUAAAUUUUUUUAUUUAGCUUAUUUUUAUAUUAAUAUUGUAUAUGUUCUUUAUUAAUAUAAUUUUUAUAUAUACUAUAAAAGUUUAAUGGCUAAAUCUUGCUUUACUGUUUGACUUACAAGUCUAUCAGUCGCGUAAGCGGGGCAUAUGAUCACAAGAUGCAUAAAGGAAAGGUCUUGGAUUAAAGAAAAAGUUACGCUAGGGAUUUAGCUUAAGUCCCCUAAUAUCAUAAGAUAUUAUAUAUAAUUUGGGUAA
RNAcentral lists this non-coding RNA (829 nucleotides) under Talaromyces marneffei ATCC 18224. RNAcentral describes it as "Penicillium marneffei ATCC 18224 Bacterial large subunit ribosomal RNA". It matches the Rfam family "Bacterial large subunit ribosomal RNA", at positions 1847 to 2507 of the family's 2925-position model. Lineage: Eukaryota; Fungi; Ascomycota; Eurotiomycetes; Eurotiales; Trichocomaceae. The record is from Rfam by way of RNAcentral.